AACGAACGCUGGCGGCAUGCCUAACACAUGCAAGUCGAACGAGAUCUUCGGGUCUAGUGGCGCACGGGUGCGUAACGCGUGGGAAUCUGCCCUUUGGUUCGGAAUAACAGUUGGAAACGACUGCAAAUACCGGAUGAUGACGAAAGUCCAAAGAUUUAUCGCCAGAGGAUGAGCCCGCGUAGGAUUAGCUAGUUGGUGUGGUAAAGGCGCACCAAGGCGACGAUCCUUAGCUGGUCUGAGAGGAUGAUCAGCCACACUGGGACUGAGACACGGCCCAGACUCCUACGGGAGGCAGCAGUGGGGAAUAUUGGACAAUGGGCGAAAGCCUGAUCCAGCGAUGCCGCGUGAGUGAUGAAGGCCUUAGGGCUGUAAAGCUCUUUUACCCGGGAUGAUAAUGACAGUACCGGGAGAAUAAGCUCCGGCUAACUCCGUGCCAGCCGCCGCCGUAA
This 449-nucleotide ribosomal RNA is filed under the name uncultured bacterium. RNAcentral describes it as "partial 16S ribosomal RNA". It matches the Rfam family "Bacterial small subunit ribosomal RNA", at positions 29 to 523 of the family's 1533-position model. The record is from RNAcentral.